GAUGAACGCUGGCGGCGUGCUUAACACAUGCAAGUCGAACGAGAAAUGGAGACGGACACCUUCGGGCGGAAGGCUUCAUUUCGAGUGGCGGACGGGUGAGUAACGCGUGGGUAACCUGCCUCAUACAGGGGGAUAACAGUUGGAAACGACUGUUAAUACCGCAUAAGACCACAGCACCGCAUGGUGCGGGGGUAAAAACUCCGGUGGUAUGAGAUGGACCCGCGUUCGAUUAGCCAGUUGGCGGGGUAACGGCCCACCAAAGCGACGAUCGAUAGCCGAUCUGAGAGGAUGACCGGCCACAUUGGGACUGAGGCACGGCCCAAACUCCUACGGGAGGCAGCAGUGGGGAAUAUUGCACAAUGGGGGAAACCCUGAUGCAGCGACGCCGCGUGAGUGAAGAAGUACUUCGGUAUGUAAAGCUCUAUCAGCAGGGAAGAAAAUGACGGUACCUGAGUAAGAAGCCCCGGCUAACUACGUG
Molecule: ribosomal RNA, 478 nt
Filed under: uncultured bacterium
Lineage: Bacteria
Description: partial 16S ribosomal RNA
Rfam family: Bacterial small subunit ribosomal RNA
Source: RNAcentral